RNAcentral lists this ribosomal RNA (250 nucleotides) under Shigella sp. FC1967. RNAcentral describes it as "partial 23S ribosomal RNA". It matches the Rfam family "Bacterial large subunit ribosomal RNA", at positions 1125 to 1374 of the family's 2925-position model. Lineage: Bacteria; Pseudomonadati; Pseudomonadota; Gammaproteobacteria; Enterobacterales; Enterobacteriaceae. The record is from RNAcentral.
AAAGAAAGCGUAAUAGCUCGACUGGUCGAGUCGCCGCGCGGAAGAUGUAACGGGGCUAAACCAUGCACCGAAGCUGCGGCAGCGACACUUAUGUGUUGUUGGGUAGGGGAGCGUUCUGUAAGCCUGCGAAGGUGUACUGUGAGGUAUGCUGGAGGUAUCAGAAGUGCGAAUGCUGACAUAAGUAACGAUAAUGCGGGUGAAAAACCCGCACGCCGGAAGACCAAGGGUUCCUGUCCAACGUUAAUCGGGG